Molecule: ribosomal RNA, 215 nt
Filed under: uncultured bacterium
Lineage: Bacteria
Description: partial 16S ribosomal RNA
Rfam family: Bacterial small subunit ribosomal RNA
Source: RNAcentral
UAGGGAAUCUUCCACAAUGGACGAAGUCUGAUGGAGCAACGCCGCGUGAGUGAUGAAGGGUUUCGGCUCGUAAAAACUCUGUUGUUGGAGAAGAACGGGUGUCAGAGUAACUGUUGACAUCGUGACGGUAUCCAACCAGAAAGCCACGGCUAACUACGUGCCAGCAGCCGCGGUAAUACGUAGGUGGCAAGCGUUGUCCGGAUUUAUUGGGCGUA